CUGACAAUUAAAAAUAAAUAAAGCAAAUUAGAUCAAAUCAGUUGCCUGGUCUAGUUCCUGAUUUAAUCAGUGCAACCUGCUAGUUUGGUCCAAUACUGAAAAUAAUUACCUGUUGAUGCUGGGAACCCAUCCAGAUAGAUUGCCUGCUUCCGUCAAAGCAAUGCUCCACUUCUCCACAACGUCUAAGUUGUGCUUAAAUUUUUCUUUAACUU
This 212-nucleotide unclassified non-coding RNA is filed under the name Hevea brasiliensis (rubber tree). Lineage: Eukaryota; Viridiplantae; Streptophyta; Magnoliopsida; Malpighiales; Euphorbiaceae. The record is from RNAcentral.